UGGGGAAUAUUGGACAAUGGGCGAAAGCCUGAUCCAGCCAUGCCGCGUGUGUGAAGAAGGUCUUCGGAUUGUAAAGCACUUUAAGUUGGGAGGAAGGGCAGUAAGCGAAUACCUUGCUGUUUUGACGUUACCGACAGAAUAAGCACCGGCUAACUCUGUGCCAGCAGCCGCGGUAAUACAGAGGGUGCGAGCGUUAAUCGGAUUUACUGGGCGUAAAGCGUGCGUAGGCGGCUAAUUGAGUCGGAUGUGAAAUCCCCGAGCUUAACUUGGGAAUUGCAUUCGUUACUGGUUAGCUGGAGUGUGGGAGAGGAUGGUAGAAUUCCAGGUGUAGCGGUGAAAUGCGUAGAGAUCUGGAGGAAUACCGAUGGCGAAGGCAGCCAUCUGGCCUAACACUGACGCUGAGGUACGAAAGCAUGGGGAGCAAACAGG
RNAcentral lists this ribosomal RNA (429 nucleotides) under Pseudomonadota bacterium. Its description in RNAcentral is "Proteobacteria bacterium partial 16S ribosomal RNA". It matches the Rfam family "Bacterial small subunit ribosomal RNA", at positions 355 to 776 of the family's 1533-position model. The record is from RNAcentral. Lineage: Bacteria; Pseudomonadati; Pseudomonadota.